GCCUGGGUAGCUCAGUUGGUUAGAGUGUGGUGCUGAUCGUGCCAAGGUUGUAGGUUUGAUCCUCAUAUGGGACA
Molecule: transfer RNA, 74 nt
Filed under: Podarcis lilfordi (Lilford's wall lizard)
Lineage: Eukaryota; Metazoa; Chordata; Lepidosauria; Squamata; Lacertidae
Description: tRNA.Ile
Source: RNAcentral